GAUGAGAACGUAGCGAAAUGCGAUACGUAAUGUGAAUUGCAGAUUUCAGUGAAUCAUCGAAUCUUUGAACGCACAUUGCGCCCGCUAGUAUUCUGGCGGGCAUGCCUGUUCGAGCGUCAUUUCAACCAUCAAGCCCUAGGCUUGCGUUGGAGCCCUGCGGCUGCCGCAGGCUCCCAAAUCCAGUGGCGGGCUCGUCGUCGUACCGAGUGCAGUAAACAUCCUCGCUCAGGGAACGUGACGGGUUCUUGCCGUGAAACCCCCCACAUAUCAAGGUUGACCUCGGAUCAGGUAGGAAUACCCGCUGAACUUAAGCAUAUCAAUAAGCGGAGGA
This 331-nucleotide unclassified non-coding RNA is filed under the name soil metagenome. Its description in RNAcentral is "partial contains 5.8S ribosomal RNA, internal transcribed spacer 2, and large subunit ribosomal RNA". The stretch from base 5 to 119 matches the Rfam family "5.8S ribosomal RNA", at positions 40 to 154 of the family's 154-position model. The record is from RNAcentral.